AGAACACGAAGUGGUUGAUGCCAUGCUUCCAAGAAAAGCUUCUAAGCUUCAGGUAACCAGGAACCGUACCCCAAACCGACACAGGUGGUUGGGUAGAGAAUACCAAGGCGCUUGAGAGAACUCGGGUGAAGGAACUAGGCAAAAUGGCACCGUAACUUCGGGAGAAGGUGCGCCGGUGAGGGUGAAGCAUUUACUGCGUAAGCCCACGCCGGUCGAAGAUACCAGGCCGCUGCGACUGUUUAUUAAAAACACAGCACUCUGCAAACACGAAAGUGGACGUAUAGGGUGUGACGCCUGCCCGGUGCCGGAAGGUUAAUUGAUGGGGUUAGCUAACGCGAAGCUCUUGAUCGAAGCCCCGGUAAACGGCGGCCGUAACAAUAACGGUCCUAAGGUAGCGAAAUUCCUUGUCGGGUAAGUUCCGACCUGCACGAAUGGCGUAACGAUGGCGGCGCUGUCUCCACCCGAGACUCAGUGAAAUUGAAAUCGCUGUGAAGAUGCAGUGUAUCCGCGGCUAGACGGAAAGACCCCGUGAACCUUUACUAUAGCUUUGCACUGGACUUUGAAUUUGCUUGUGUAGGAUAGGUGGGAGGCUUUGAAGCGUGGACGCCAGUUCGCGUGGAGCCAUCCUUGAAAUACCACCCUGGCAACUUUGAGGUUCUAACUCAGGUCCGUUAUCCGGAUCGAGGACAGUGUAUGGUGGGUAGUUUGACUGGGGCGGUCUCCUCCUAAAGAGUAACGGAGGAGUACGAAGGUGCGCUCAGACCGGUCGGAAAUCGGUCGUAGAGUAUAAAGGCAAAAGCGCGCUUGACUGCGAGACAGACACGUCGAGCAGGUACGAAAGGAGGUCUUAGUGAUCCGGUGGUUCUGUAUGGAAGGGCCAUCGCUCAACGGAUAAAAGGUACUCCGGGGAUAACAGGCUGAUACCGCCCAAGAGUUCAUAUCGACGGCGGUGUUUGGCACCUCGAUGUCGGCUCAUCACAUCCUGGGGCUGAAGCCGGUCCCAAGGGUAUGGCUGUUCGCCAUUUAAAGUGGUACGCGAGCUGGGUUUAGAACGUCGUGAGACAGUUCGGUCCCUAUCUGCCGUGGACGUUUGAGAUUUGAGAGGGGCUGCUCCUAGUACGAGAGGACCGGAGUGGACGAACCUCUGGUGUUCCGGUUGUCACGCCAGUGGCAUUGCCGGGUAGCUAUGUUCGGAAUAGAUAACCGCUGAAAGCAUCUAAGCGGGAAACUAGCCUCAAGAUGAGAUCUCACUGGGACCUUGAGUCCCCUGAAGGGCCGUCGAAGACUACGACGUUGAUAGGUUGGGUGUGUAAGCGCUGUGAGGCGUUGAGCUAACCAAUACUAAUUGCCCGUGAGGCUUGAUC
This 1364-nucleotide ribosomal RNA is filed under the name metagenome. Its description in RNAcentral is "bacterial LSU rRNA". It matches the Rfam family "Bacterial large subunit ribosomal RNA", at positions 1580 to 2925 of the family's 2925-position model. The record is from RNAcentral.